CCUACGGGAGGCAGCAGUGAGGAAUAUUGGUCAAUGGGCGAAAGCCUGAACCAGCCAAGUAGCGUGCAGGAUGACGGCCCUACGGGUUGUAAACUGCUUUUAUACGGGAAUAACGCGCCUUACGUGUAGGGCUUUGCAUGUACCGUAUGAAUAAGGACCGGCUAAUUCCGUGCCAGCAGCCGCGGUAAUACGGAAGGUCCGGGCGUUAUCCGGAGUUAUUGUGUUGACAGGGAGCGUAGGCCGCAUGUCAAGCGUGCUGUGAAAUGUCCGGGUGCAACCCGGGCCUUGCAGCGCGAACUGGCGGGCUUGAGUCCGCGGAAAGCAGGCGGAAUUCGUCGUGUAGCGGUGAAAUGCUUAGAUAUGACGAAGAACCCCGAUUGCGAAGGCAGCUUGCUGCAGCGGAACUGACGCUGAUGCUCGAAAGCGCGGGUAUCGAACAGGAUUAGAUACCCUUGUAGUU
Molecule: ribosomal RNA, 460 nt
Filed under: uncultured bacterium
Lineage: Bacteria
Description: partial 16S ribosomal RNA
Rfam family: Bacterial small subunit ribosomal RNA
Source: RNAcentral